UAAACUUGAAAAGGAAAUCAAUUUUGGUUUACUUGUUGUGUUAAGGGCAGUCGAAUAUGCUUUGUUAAGGAGGACUUGAACUAUAAGUAGUAAACUAAUGUAUCAUGUACGCAUUUGAGUUUGAAGUAUUUGUUUGUUUAUCGAGAGAACUCAUUUGAGCAGAGGAACUUGGACUUUCAAUGGAAGCAAUGUGAUCUAUUGUUGAGACUAGGGUCCCUGGAAAUGACGAUUUAUUGUAUUGCCUCUUUUAAUUGGGCAGCUGUUGUUAGAAAUUAGAAUUGAAAUUGAGGAUCUGGGACUGUGUGUUAAUAGUUUUG
Molecule: unclassified non-coding RNA, 317 nt
Filed under: Hevea brasiliensis (rubber tree)
Lineage: Eukaryota; Viridiplantae; Streptophyta; Magnoliopsida; Malpighiales; Euphorbiaceae
Source: RNAcentral